GGCCACGGGUUGUAAACCUCUUUUAGUAGGGAAGAAGCGAAAGGACGGUACCUGCAGAAAAAGCACCGGCUAACUACGUGCCAGCAGCCGCGGUAAUACGUAGGGUGCAAGCGUUGUCCGGAAGAUUGGGCGUAAAGAGCUCGUAGGCGGUUUGUCGCGUCUGCUGUGAAAUCCCGAGGCUCAACCUCGGGCUUGCAGUGGGUACGGGCAGACUAGAGUGCGGUAGGGGAGAAUGGAAAUCCUGGUGUAGCGGUGGAAUGCGCAGAUAUCAGGAGGAACACCGAAGGCGAAGGCAGAGCUCUGGGCCGUAACUGACGCUGAGGAGCGAAAGCACGGGGAGCGAACUGGAUUAGAUACCCUGGUAGUCCAUGCCGUAAACGUUGGGCGCUAGAUGUAGGGACCUUUCCACGGUUUCUGUGUCGUAGCUAACGCAUUAAGCGCCCCGCCUGGGGAGUACGGCCGCAAGGCCAAAACUCAUAGGAAUUGACGGGGGCCCGCACAAGCGGUGGAGCACGCGGAUUAAUUCGAUGCAACGCGAAGAACCUUACCAAGGCUUGACAUACACCGGAAACGGUCAGAGAUGGUCGCCUCCCUUGUGGUCGG
RNAcentral lists this ribosomal RNA (603 nucleotides) under Curtobacterium sp. Ri3Ps_5314. Its description in RNAcentral is "bacterial SSU rRNA". It matches the Rfam family "Bacterial small subunit ribosomal RNA", at positions 413 to 1030 of the family's 1533-position model. Lineage: Bacteria; Bacillati; Actinomycetota; Actinomycetes; Micrococcales; Microbacteriaceae. The record is from RNAcentral.